AGAGUUUGAUCAUGGCUCAGAACGAACGUUAGCGGCGCGCCUAACACAUGCAAGUCGAGCGAGAAAGGGCUUCGGCCCCGGUACAGCGGCGCACGGGUGAGUAACACGUGGGUAACCUUCCCAAGAGCGGGGGAUAACAUUCCGAAAGGAGUGCUAAUACCGCAUAAGACCACGGUGUCGAAAGACGCUGAGGUAAAAGCAGGCCUCUAUACAUAAGCUUGCACUCUUGGAUGGGCCCGCGGCCCAUCAGCUAGUUGGUAGGGUAAUGGCCUACCAAGGCUAAGACGGGUAACUGGUCUGAGAGGAUGAUCAGUCACACUGGAACUGAGACACGGUCCAGACUCCUACGGGAGGCAGCAGUGGGGAAUCUUGCGCAAUGGACGAAAGUCUGACGCAGCGACGCCGCGUGGGUGAUGAAGGCCUUCGGGUUGUAAAGCCCUGUGGGGAGAGACGAAUAAGUGCGGGCUAACAUCUUGCAUGAUGACGGUAUCUCCUUAGCAAGCACCGGCUAACUCUGUGCCAGCAGCCGCGGUAAGACAGAGGGUGCAAACGUUGUUCGGAAUUACUGGGCGUAAAGCGUGUGUAGGCGGCUUUGUAAGUCGGAUGUGAAAGCCCCGGGCUCAACCUGGGAAGUGCACUCGAAACUGCAAAGCUUGAGUAUCGGAGAGGUUGGUAGAAUUCUCGGUGGAGAGGUGAAAUUCGUAGAUAUCGAGGGGAAUACCAGUGGCGAAGGCGGCCAACUGGACGAAUACUGACGCUGAGACACGAAAGCGUGGGGAGCAAACAGGAUUAGAUACCCUAGUAGUCC
This 808-nucleotide ribosomal RNA is filed under the name uncultured bacterium. RNAcentral's name for it is "bacterial SSU rRNA". It matches the Rfam family "Bacterial small subunit ribosomal RNA", at positions 8 to 796 of the family's 1533-position model. The record is from RNAcentral.